UCAGACUUUAUGGCAGCAGGCAACCUAUAUUGAGGGAUGAUUUCAUUGCAUAAAAACUUAACUACUGUGUUGGUGGUUUCGUUUUCGGUAGCAAAUGCCUUAGUCUAUCUGGAGAAGGUGUCUACUCGUACUAGAAGUUCCUCCCACUGAAGAAUCGGAGUAUAUUUCUCCAGCCGCUAAUGUUGGAUUUAGUCAUGUGUCUAGCUUUGGCCACUGGAAUAUUAAUCUGCAUGACCAAAAACUUGGAAAGUGUGCAUUCAUUUGUGCUCGCUCACUCCUGCUAUCACCAUGAGAACAAGCCGAGGCCAGAAUGCUGCUUCCAGAAGAAGACAAGAGACAUCAAGUGCAAAGUCAAGCUUCCCAGACAUGCUCAUGCCAGAUUAACCAAUCCUCAGCUGACCCAUAGAUCCAUGAAAAUAAACAAUUGUUGUAUUAAGCCACUGAGAUUUGGAGUGACAUGUUAUGCAGCAUUGUGUGACAACAACUAAUGGAUACAAGGGUCACCAUCCUUUAUCUCUGUAGAUUUUAACCAAUUUUUAAUAGCUAGAUGGAGAUCUUCUAGUUGCCCUUAUUUAUAAUGAAUAUGACUGUAGAGCUAAUUUGGCCUGACACUACCAGUAACCUACCCAGAAAUUCAGAAAUACUUUCUUCUCCAACCCGCCCCAACCAACCUUUUUUUUUGUUUGUUUUUGGGUUAUCCUUCUUUGCCUAGGCUAGAGUACAAGUGGUACAGUCAGAGCUCACUGUAACCUCAAAAUCCUGGGCUCAAGUGAUCUUCCCCUUCAGCCUCCUGAGUAGCUAAGACUACAGACAUGUGCCACCAUGCCUGGCUAAUUUUUUUAUUCUUUGCAGAGACAGGGUCUCAGUAUAUUGCACAAGUUGGUUUCAAACUCCUGGCUUCAAGCAGUCCUCCUGCCUCAUCCACCCAAGGUGCUAGGAUUAUAGGCAUGAGCCACCAUGCCCAGCCUCUUCUUCUUUUUAAAUAGAAACACUAUUUUAUUCUGACAGUGGGUUGCUUUCUUUUUUUUUUUUUAAGAAAAAGUUGACCCAGCCCCAGGGAAUAAAUUCUGACUGUUCUAAACAGGGUUGGCAAACUAUAGACCAGGGGCCAAAUCUGGCCCUCUGACUGUUUGUAUAAAUUAAGUUUUACUGGAAUAAACCCAGGUCCACUCAUUUAUGCAUUGUCUACAUAUGCUUUUAGGCUACGAUGGCACCACUGCGUCACUGCAACAGAAGUUAUCUAGACCAAAAGCCUAAAAUAUUACCGUUUGCCUCUUUAUGGAAAAAGUUUGCCAUUCCCUAGUCUAAGGUUUAGAGUCUGAGCUUAUCAUUUUAGCCUAAUCCCCCUUACCAGUGACUGGCUCAAAACAAGUCUGUGAUUCCAUUCUGACUGUUCUACUGAGGGAAUUCCCCCUUCUUCUCAUGCAGAGCUGAUGAGGGUAAGUUGUAUUAAUAGGACAUAUGCUCAGGUUUUCUGAAAAAUACUUUUAUCUAGAAAUGCAUAGGAAUAUGCUGGUGCCUGAAUGUACCAUCUGGGGGCCUGGAGAUUGACUCACACUGCCUCCAGAGCUAGUGCUCACACUUACUACUGAGAGGCCUGAGGAAACGCCUGCCUACCCACCACCAGAACCUGCACACAUCACCUGGAGAACUAGAGAUCAGACUGCCACACACACCACCCAGGAGCCCAGUGGCACACCUGCCCACCUGGCCCAGUGUUGCCACUGCCAGCAACCAAAGAAGCCACCUGGGGACCCAAGGAUUGGCACAUGCAGACAGGCUAUCAUCAGUGCCCAUAUACACUGCCCAUGGUCCCUAGUAUUGACCAACCUGGUCCACCACCACUACCACUGAUGCUGAAGGACAAGACUUCCUGGCAUCCCUAUCCUCAGCAAAGCCUCACCACAUCCUCCAAUAACAACUGUGGUCUGUCCAGGCAUGGUGGCUCACCCCUGUAAUCCCAGCACUUUGAGAGGCCAAGGUGGGUAGAUCAUGAGGUCAGGAGUUCGAGACCAGCCUGGCCAACAUGGUGAAAACCCCGUCUCUACUAAAAAUACAAAAAUUAGCUGGGCAUGGUUACACGUGCCUGUAGUCCCAGCUACUCAGGAGGCUGAGGCAGGAUAAUCACUUGAACCCAGGAGGCAGAGGUUGCAGUGAGCUGAGAUUGUGUCACUGAACUCCAGCCUGGUGACAGAGCUAGACUCCAUCUCAUCAACCACACACACACACACACAAAAACCAAAAAAAAAAAAAAAAAAACUGCAGUCUAAGCCACUGAAUGACUCAGAGACACCACUCAGGCCAAUUACAGCUGAAGAAAUCAUAUGCAGACUAUACCACUGUACCCACCCAGAAUCAAAGCCAAAGUGUGGUAUCCAAUGAACAUUGUAGAUACAGCUAUAAGAAAAGGUCUUUCCCAUAUAAAAGCCAAUCCAUAAAAUUGGAAGAAGUGACUGUUAUGUCAGAGGCACAGAUAGUCACAUAAGGAUGCAAGAAAUAUGAAAAAGGAAACAUAACAUCUCCAAAGAAGCACAAUAAUUCUCCAGCAACAGAUUCCAAUGAAAAGAAAAUCUAUGAAAUGCCUGAAAAAAAUUAAGAAUAAUGUUAUUAAAGAAACUCAGGGAGAUACAAGAGAACACAGAUAACGAAUACAAAAAAAUCAGGAAAACAAUUCAUGAUCUGAAUGAGAAAUUCAACAGAGAUAGACAGCAUAACAAAGAACCAAACACAAAUCCUGGAAGAGAAUAAAUCAUUGAAAGAAAUACAAAAGAUAAUUGAAAGCUUUAACAACAG
Molecule: long non-coding RNA, 2793 nt
Filed under: Homo sapiens (human)
Lineage: Eukaryota; Metazoa; Chordata; Mammalia; Primates; Hominidae
Description: HSALNT0056386
Source: RNAcentral